Molecule: long non-coding RNA, 426 nt
Filed under: Populus tremula
Lineage: Eukaryota; Viridiplantae; Streptophyta; Magnoliopsida; Malpighiales; Salicaceae
Description: long non-coding RNA (PTRE_LNC003025)
Source: RNAcentral
AACAUUUAAGUUCUUGAGUUAGAUGGAAGUCAAGGAGAGCAGUGGAAGUGACAAACCUGAUAAGAAGAGGAGGCCAUGCCGAAGAGAAAGUUGUCUGGCAAUGAAAAAUGAUCUAAACUCCCUUGCAAAGUUUCUGGAUGUGAUGAUACACAGAGAGGAACGAAGAUAAGGACUAAAAGAAACAUAACUUGAAAAUUUGAAGGAAGCUCCAUGAUGAGUAAUGCCCUUCCUUUGGAGUCUCUCGUAAAAGCUAAGAAGCUCUCUGCAGAUGCUUUUGAGAAAUUAACUAAUUGUAUAGUGGAUAUGAGAGCUUAGAGAAGAUGUUGGAAAUUUUAACUUGUGUGAAAAAAAGAAGGGAACGCGAAAACUGUAUGAGCAAAUCACAUCUCUGGCCCUUUCAGAUUUACAGAUAGCUCCACUAGAAAU